This 223-nucleotide long non-coding RNA is filed under the name Malus domestica (apple). RNAcentral's name for it is "long non-coding RNA (MDOM_LNC004226)". The record is from RNAcentral. Lineage: Eukaryota; Viridiplantae; Streptophyta; Magnoliopsida; Rosales; Rosaceae.
UAUUCCCUAACGCCGUUAGGGAAUCCGUUUGCUAUGCCUUGGCCAGCGCGUGGGUGCUCAGAAUUUUUUUCUAAAAAUAUGGGGAUGUUCAUGGUGUUGAGUAAAUCACGUUGGUUUAUUCAAACACCCCAUUUGAGUAUUGUAUGAGAAGUUAUUUCCUAGUUUUGUAUAUGUGCUUUAAAUGACUUUUAUUCAGUUAUUUCGCAUAUAGGUGAGACUUAUC